RNAcentral lists this transfer RNA (89 nucleotides) under Bacillota bacterium. Its description in RNAcentral is "Firmicutes bacterium (hot springs metagenome) tRNA-Ser". It matches the Rfam family "tRNA". From Rfam's summary of the family: Transfer RNA (tRNA) molecules are approximately 80 nucleotides in length. Their secondary structure includes four short double-helical elements and three loops (D, anti-codon, and T loops). RNAcentral also lists the same sequence under 2 other names. The record is from RNAcentral. Lineage: Bacteria; Bacillati; Bacillota.
GGAGGGGUGUCCGAGCGGUUUAAGGUGGCGGUCUUGAAAACCGCUGAACUCAAAAGGUUCCGUGGGUUCGAAUCCCACCCCCUCCGCCA